CCAAGCUCAGUUGGUAGAGCAGUUGACUUUUAAUCAAUUGGUCGCAGGUUCGAAUCCUGCACGACCCA
Molecule: transfer RNA, 68 nt
Filed under: Salmonella enterica subsp. enterica serovar Dublin
Lineage: Bacteria; Pseudomonadati; Pseudomonadota; Gammaproteobacteria; Enterobacterales; Enterobacteriaceae
Description: tRNA-Lys
Rfam family: tRNA (bases 4-60)
About the family: Transfer RNA (tRNA) molecules are approximately 80 nucleotides in length. Their secondary structure includes four short double-helical elements and three loops (D, anti-codon, and T loops). Further hydrogen bonds mediate the characteristic L-shaped molecular structure. tRNAs have two regions of fundamental functional importance: the anti-codon, which is responsible for specific mRNA codon recognition, and the 3' end, to which the tRNAs corresponding amino acid is attached (by aminoacyl-tRNA synthetases). tRNAs cope with the degeneracy of the genetic code in two manners: having more than one tRNA (with a specific anti-codon) for a particular amino acid; and 'wobble' base-pairing, i.e. permitting non-standard base-pairing at the 3rd anti-codon position.
Source: RNAcentral